Molecule: non-coding RNA, 360 nt
Organism: Centropristis striata (black sea bass)
Lineage: Eukaryota; Metazoa; Chordata; Actinopteri; Perciformes; Serranidae
Source: the annotation of a RefSeq genome assembly
AUGACGCCUCUGUUCAUCUCAGCGCUGCUGGCUGCUGUGAGCUUUGAAUGCAGAGCACAAACAGACAGCAUGCUGCAACCAGCAGGAGAAGAGCCUGCUGCUGAAGGACAGACAGUAACACUUGGCUGUCAGUACACAAGCUCUUCAUCAAAUCAUUAUCUCUUCUGGUACAAACAGGACGGAAACAACAGACCCAAAUUCAUCCUGAGCCGCUUUAAGAUCGGCUCGGGGAAAACAGAGGACGGGGACAGAUUUUCAUCUGUACUGAAUUCAACCUCAAGAUCGGUUCCUCUGAAGAUCCAGAAGCUUCAGCUGUCUGACUCUGCUGUGUACUACUGUGCUCUGCAGCCCACAGUGACA